UAACCAUCCUUGUGAGGAGCUCAUGCAAACCCUAACUCCUCUUCUUCAUCAAUUGCAGUUCCUCUCUAAGUUCACCUAAUUAUGUUUGUAUAUAUAUUAACGUUCUAAGAGCAUCUCCAAUGGAAGUAUCUCAAUGAGAUACCUAACAAAAGAAAAAAAAUUAAAAAAAAAAUAUGAGAGAAGGGAGAAAAAGUAGGAGAGAAGGAGAGUUAAAUUUCUCGGAUGAUUGGACAGGUGUAAUCACACUAUUAGUUCAACUAUUAAAUAAUAAUUAAUGUAUCUGUUUUGAUUAAAAUAUUAAUUAAUAUGUUUUUGAGAAACUUUCUUUAUUUUUACUGGUGGAGAUGGUCUAAUGUUCCAUGGUUCAUAUAACGGAGCAAAUUAAAGCAUUGUAAUCAU
This 399-nucleotide small RNA is filed under the name Arabidopsis thaliana (thale cress). RNAcentral describes it as "ATSL127850". Lineage: Eukaryota; Viridiplantae; Streptophyta; Magnoliopsida; Brassicales; Brassicaceae. The record is from RNAcentral.